RNAcentral lists this ribosomal RNA (200 nucleotides) under uncultured bacterium. Its description in RNAcentral is "partial 16S ribosomal RNA". It matches the Rfam family "Bacterial small subunit ribosomal RNA", at positions 29 to 258 of the family's 1533-position model. The record is from RNAcentral.
AACGAACGCUGGCGGCAGGCUUAACACAUGCAAGUCGAACGCCCCGCAAGGGGAGUGGCGCACGGGUGAGUAACGCGUGGGAAUAUGCCCUUCGGUUCGGAAUAACACAGGGAAACUUGUGCUAAUACCGGAUACGAUCUACGGAUGAAAGAUUUAUCGCCGAGGGAGUAGCCCGCGUAGGAUUAGCUUGUUGGUGAGGU